This 34480-nucleotide long non-coding RNA is filed under the name Phaseolus vulgaris (common bean). RNAcentral describes it as "long non-coding RNA (PVUL_LNC001986)". Lineage: Eukaryota; Viridiplantae; Streptophyta; Magnoliopsida; Fabales; Fabaceae. The record is from RNAcentral.
UAACAGACACUUUCACGAUCAAAAACCCAAAAGGUGUUAUGUUCCAAAAAAUCAUGGGCAAUAGCCAAUAUCGUUUCUUUUCGUCUCGCUGUUUCAAAGUUCAAACUUUUGUCUUUGGGGUUUUGGAAUUGUUGUAGGCUCUGCCGUACGUUCGUUUAAUUGGGGAAUCGUGGCCUAUGACGAAGGAGAGGGCUUAUUUUGAGUCGCUGACACUGAAAGAAGAGGGUCGUUUGUGCCCUGAGCAUGUCCCUGAAGUGUAUCACUUUGAUCGUACCAUGUCUUUGAUCGUCAUGCGUUACUUAGAACCCCCGCAUAUAAUCCUUAGAAAAGGGUUGAUUGCAGGAACUGAAUACCCUCUUUUAGCUGAGCAUAUGGCUGAUUUCAUGGCAAAGACCCUCUUCUUCACGUCUCUGCUUUUCCGUUCCACCACUGACCACAAACGAGACGGUAUAACCUUACCCUUGUGGAUUUAUUGAGAAGCUAGACAAGGGAACUUCUAAAAAUGUUAGGGUUUACAAAUUUAUCUAACUGCCUCUCUUAAUUCAUUUGAUGUAAUCAAUUGCAUGGUCUCGAUAACUGUUUCCAUUUUAAGGUUUAGUCCCUGUCUGAGAAAAAUAUUAUUUUUAUUUAUACAGUUUUUGUGAAAGCUUAUAUGUGUCAGAAAAUUUGUAUGGUUUUACACCACCAAAAUGACCAGAAGCUAACUUUUAUACUCGAAAUGGAUCUAACCUAUACUGUUUUCUAAUUUGGGAACUAAAACUUUAAACAAAGACAAUAGCGACCAUGUAAAUAGCUCAACCUUCAUUUCAUUUUCUUGUACUAUCAGUGUAUCAUUGUGAAAUUUAUCUAAAUUUGCUCCGAAUGAUAUCCUUUUUUUGUGACUAUAAGGAAGGUCUUACACAUGAUUAUCUACGGAUGUUGCCUUUAAUUGAAUUCAUAUUUGCUUCGUGCAGUUGCCGAAUAUUGUGGGAAUGUGGAGCUAUGCAGGCUUACUGAGCAGGUCGUUUUCUCUGACCCUUACAAAAUUUCUGAACAUAAUCGUUGGACUGCGCCCUAUCUUGAUCGUGAUGCCGAGGCGGUUCGGGAAGACAACCUGCUUAAGCUUGAAGUUGCUGAGCUGAAAUCUAUGUAUUGUGACACGCUUUUCGUACCUAUUAUAUACAGUAGUUUGUUGUUAUAUUUUUGUUAUAAGAAUAAGAAUUUAUGUUCCUAAAGGUUCAUUGAGAGGGCCCAGGCACUAUUACAUGCUGAUUUACACACUUCUUCUGUGAUGGUUACUCGUGAAUCAACUCAAGUUAUUGAUCCAGAAUUUUCAUUUUAUGGACCAAUGGGUUAUGAUGUUGGAGCAUUCUUGGGAAACUUGAUUUUGGCCUUCUUUUCUCAAGACGGGCACGCUGAUCAAACAAAUGAUCGAAAAGUAGGUCAUGUCAUCUGUGAUCCUUACUUGUCCCCUUCUUUGUAUGCUAUAGUUGUUAUUUAGUCACGUAUUUCUUGUUAUUGUCUAUAAUCGAAGUAAAACUUAGACUCUUUCUUUUUUAGUGUCGUGUUUUUUAUUUCACUCUGGUAGUUUUGUUUCAUGGCAGAGGCUGGCUUUCUUUAGAGUCCUACAUAUCAAGGUGUUUGUACCAGAUAUUUCUGAUUUUUGCUGUCUGCGCUUAUUUGUAGUUCUGAAUUUUCUGUAUUGUUCUUUUGUUUUGUCUGUGAGUUGCCAAUGCUGGCGCCUUGUUAUCCUAAGAGUAGGAUUCCUGUGUACUUUUAAUGAGUAAUCAAUCAGAAAUAUACCAUUUACUUGUUUUAGUCCAACACUAGUAACAAGUGAAGACUUGGUUUUGGAAUAGAAUUGUUUCAUUUUUGUGUUCAGCACAUGAUCAUACACUGAGUACUUUUUAGGGGUUCCUUUCUAUGUUUCUUUUCUUUCUCCUAUUUUUUGGACUUUGUUAAAAUUUCUUAUCCUGCAACCUUGUACUUCUAUUGGUGUGUUUGGAUUUCCAUUCAAAAGCAGGAAAUGGACAUGCAAUCCAUGACACCCUGCAUCGUGAUGCAGGGGGCAUAAGAUAAUGAGCAUUGGCAUGUAAACUGUAAUCCUAUAUGAUUGUAGCGGAAAAUGAUUGUUAUGCCUUAUGUAAAAUUCUAUGUUGUGCAGGCCUAUAAGGAGUGGAUUCUUAAGACAAUCGAAGACACUUGGAACCUUUUCCAGCACAAAUUUACUUCACUUUGGGACGAGCACAGGAAUGGUACUGGUGAAGCGUAUCUUCCAGCAAUCUAUAACAAUCCUGAGGUUCAACUCCUUGUACAGAAGAAAUACAUGACAAAUUUGUUUCACGAUAGUCUUGGAUUUGGUGCUGCUAAAAUGAUAAGGUGAGACUUUUUCUCUAAUUUUUUUCCUCUUUCCACAAAAGAUAAUGUGAGAUUGCAGAUAAUAUUUUUACUAGAGAAUGAUAUAUGGAUAUGGAUUUCUUAGCUAUUGUAUAUAGUCAUUAUUGGUCAUAUAAUUAAUAGUUUUGGCAUUUGAAAUGGUCAUUGAUAUAGUAUUAUUUAAAGUAAACUUUAAGUCUAAUUCAAUUUUAUAAAAAUGGUUUUUAAGGUGAACUUUGCAUCACGUACUAUGAAAUGUUCUUAUCUCUAGUCGAUAUAGGAUCUCCGACACAUCCUCCUCAUGCUGAGAUUGUCAACUCGUGCAAGAGAUUAUAUAUUUAUGAAUAGUCUGAUAGCGGGUAGUCUAAUAAACCUAACAAACUCUCGGUACGAUAGACCCUAAAUGAGUAUGAUACCAUAUUAAGAAGUGAACUUUAGUCUAACUAAACCUUAUAAGAUGAGUUUACACUCUUUUAUAUACUAUGAAAUGUUUUUAUCUUUAGUCGAUGUGAAAUCUCCAACAAGUAUAGUAUAGUAUUGUGGUUCCUUUGUUGUUGUAUUACUGAUAAGGUCCUUUGGUUAAGAGUUGACUUGAGUCGAAGCUGCAUCCAUCAUUUAGGUAAAAAGUGAGCUUCUGGCUAUCAAUUGCAUUGCAUGAUAUUGAUUUGAUUGACAGGAGAAUUGUUGGUGUGGCGCAUGUUGAGGAUUUCGAAUCCAUUGCUGAUGCUGCUAAAAGGGCAACUUGUGAACGACGAGCUCUUAAUUUAGCUAAGAUGCUUCUCAAAGAAAGAAGAAAAUUUGAUGGCAUUGCUGAAAUUAUUUCAGCAAUUCGGCAAUACUAGUACACAACCCAAUACCAGCUUUUGCUACAUCAGUAAUACUUCCUAAACGGAUCGUGUUUUCCAACUUUUUUGUUGUUGUGUACCACUAUAUAUGUGUUUCCAUAAACAUUAUGUAUGAAAAAUUAUAUAGAUAUUUUAGGAGAGGUUUUGUCUGAGAUUUUUUUUAUUUUAUUUUCUAUUUCAGGUUUAUUUAGAAUAAGAGAAAACAGUAAAUUAAAACAAAAUAAUAAAAAAUCAUUUUCACUGCUUAUAUAAAUCAUUUUUGAAAAUAUAAAACAAAGGAAUGAAUGAGAUGUUCAUACCCUUAAAUUUUGGUUAAAUAUGUUUUUUUAUUAUAAUAUGAAAAUGAAUUUUGUCUUUAAUCCAAACAUUAGACUAUUUGAGUGUUUUUAAUAUGAAGAUGAUUGAAAUAAAUCAUGUGUAAUUGAUUCAAUUUGAAUGAUUGAAAUAAAUUUUUUGUAUGUGGAAUAGAACUAAUUUGAAGUUUUAUUUUAUCAGUUUAUUGGGAAUAGUUAUAGUGUGUAUCAGUCUACAAUCAAAAUAAUAUCUAAAAAAAAUAACAAUUUUAAAGAAACUAACCAUCAUUUCACAUACUAAAUGACUCAUUAAAAAUCAUUUGUUCUAAUUAUACAUUUUUAUAAGAUUGAAAUUUAUAUUGUAUAUGAUAUAAAUAAUAAAAAAUUUGAUGUUUACAUUUGUUACAAUUAUAUCCUUUUGCAAUUUCCCUCAUAAUUUUCAAAGAUAACAGUACGAUGCUAACACUGAAAUUAAAACUUGUGUGUAUAAGUUUAAAUAUUUUUUACAACAUUUAAAUUAAAUAUAAACAUUACUUUAUCAAAAUGAAAGUAUAUUUUAACCUUUUCUAGGAUCUAAUGAAAGUAUAUGAACGAAAAGGUUUAGGUCUUCAAAUACAUUUUUAUUAGAGAAAUGUUUUGUCUAAGGGGAAUUUCUCAAAAGUUUAAAUGAAUAAUGAUAUCUUGUAUUUUAAUGUGAUUAAGUUUUUUUAGUAUUAAUAUUCGUAGUGGUAAAGUUUUUCGUCCUCUUUUGGUUAGAUGAGAAUUUCCUUCAUCAGACUCGGUUAAAAUUAACACGGAUGGGGCUGUUAGGGGUAUUCUAGUCUUGUUACGUGUGAAAGUAUUUUCCGUAUGAAGGAGUUUAUUGAGUUUUAUGGAGUUAUACAUGCUAUGAGGAAGCUCAAAAGAUGAGGCUUAAUAAUGUCAGACUUAAAUGUGAUUCUGUAUAGGUUUGUGUUUGUUUACUGUUAGGACUAAUGUUGGAUGUGUAUGCUGAUAAGUUGACUAAUUUAGAAUUUAUUCAUAGAGAAUCAUUUUAUUGGUAUAAUAGAUUUUAAUCUAUUAAGUUCUUAGAAUUCAUUAUGUAUAAGCAUACUAUACCUAUGUAUAAUUUUUGUUAACAUAUGAGUUUUGGUCUAGUAUCGUCCUCCCAUAUUUUUAGUAUAUAUUUUUUUAAUAAUAUUUUUUUCAAUGAUAGAUGAUUGUUUUACUUUUUACUUGAAGUGUUAUCCUAACUGAGAUGUUUUAUAUAUUGAUGCAUAAUAUAAAAGCUUUUAUAUAAGCAAGGAAAAAUUCUAUGCCAAAGUUCCAACUAUGACACAAUUAAAUUUAAACUAAAAUAAAAUCUAAACUAAAUUUAAAAAUAAAGAAUGUAAAUAUUUUAUUAUAUCAAAUUUUUAUUUAACUGUACUAAUUCAAUAACAUUAUUUUAUCUUAUGAGUGAAAAUAAAAAAUAAAAUAACUAUUUUAUUUUAAAAAAAUAAAAUUAGGAUUGCACAAUAAACAAGUAAAAUUCAAAAUAAACUGAAAUCUAUAAAAAAAAUUUAAUGGAAAAGUUCAUAAAGCUCACAAAUUGAAAUUUUAUUGAAAGAAUAGACUAGAUUACAAUUAGAAGAAAAUUUCAUUGUACUUUUAGAAAUUAGAUAUUUCAUAUGAUUUUCUUAACUUUAUACAUCCUAUCACAACAUCUUAAACACUUAAAAUGAAAGUCAUGUCUUUGACAAAAAAAAAAUAUUAAAACUCUGUCCAGGUUCAUUGCAUGCCAUUUUCCUUUUCUAUAACAAAAGUCUUUCAAUCACUCCUUACCUUUUUCUUUAUUUCACUCGUCCAAUUCCAAAGAAGAAAAAAAAUGUAUUCGAAUAAUUACUAAAAGUUAAAUAAUUUAUAAUUUAUUGUAAAUUAUAUUCUUUUAAUGACAUUCAAUCAAUGUUUUGAAUAAGUAUUUGAAGAGUAAAAAUGAUUACAACACAUUUUUUGAUUAAAAUAUAUGAUAGUUAAAUUUCUCAAAAAAAGAUGACAGUGGAUAUAGUCUCAGGAGAAUCAAAUGAAAUUGGUGUGAAAAAAAUCUCAGUUUCAGUUUCUAGCGUGCUUCCUCCAAACAAAGAAUAGUAAGACGCACUUCAAAGAUUCCAUCCAUUUGGGAGUUGAGAGAGUACCAUUGCUCCACUCCCUCCUUCCCACCAUCGCCGGCCACCAUGGCUUUCUCCGAGUUCCGACCGCUCAACGAGAAGUCCCUCAUCGAAUACAUAAAGUCCGUUCCUGCUCUCUCCUCCAAACUCGCCAACAAUUUUGAUGACUUAUCAGUUAAAGAAGUUGGAGAUGGUAACCUUAACUUCGUCUACAUUGUUUCCAACUCUGCAGGUUCUUUUGUCAUCAAACAGGUAACAGGCACUUUCACGAUCCAAAACCCAAAGGGUCUUAUGCUCCAAAAAAUCAUGGGCAAUAGCCAAUUUCGUUUCUUUUCGUCUCGCUGCUUCAAAGCUCAAACUUUUGUCUCUGGGGUUUUGGAAUUGUUGUAGGCUCUGCCGUACGUUCGUUGCAUUGGGGAGUCGUGGCCUAUGACGAAGGAGAGGGCUUAUUUUGAGUCGCUGACACUGAAAGAAGAGGGUCGUUUGUGCCCUGAGCAUGUCCCUGAAGUGUAUCACUUUGAUCGUACCAUGUCUUUGAUCGCCAUGCGUUACUUAGAACCCCCGCAUAUAAUCCUUAGAAAAGGGUUGAUUGCAGGAACUGAAUACCCUCUUUUAGCUGAGCAUAUGGCUGAUUUCAUGGCAAAGACCCUCUUCUUCACGUCUCUGCUUUUCCGUUCCACCACUGACCACAAACGAGACGGUAUAACCUUACCCUUGUGGAUUUAUUGAGAAGCUAGACAAGGGAACUUCUAAAAAUGUUAGGGUUUACAAAUUUAUCUAACUGCCUCUCUUAAUUCAUUUGAUGUAAUCAAUUGCAUGGUCUCGAUAACUGUUUCCAUUUUAAGGUUUAGUCCGUGUAUGAGAAAAAUACUAUUUUUAUUUAUACAGUUUUUGUGAAAGCUUAUAUGUGUCAGAAAAUUUGUAGGUUUUACACCACCAAAAUGACCAAAGCUAACUUUUAUACUCGAAAUGGAUCUAACCUAUACUGUUUUCUAAUUUGGGAACUAAAACUUUAAACAAAGACAAUAGCGACCAUGUAAAUAGCUCAACCUUCAUUUCAUUUUCUUGUACUAUCAGUGUAUCAUUGUGAAAUUUAUCUAAAUUUGCUCCAAAUGAUAUCCUCUUUUUGUGACUAUAAGGAAGGUCUUACACAUGAUUAUCUACGGAUGUUACCUUUAAUUGAAUUCAUAUUUGCUUCGUGCAGUUGCCGAAUUUUGUGGGAAUGUGGAGCUAUGCAGGCUUACUGAGCAGGUCGUUUUCUCUGACCCUUACAAAAUUUCUGAAUAUAAUCGUUGGACUGCGCCCUAUCUUGAUCGUGAUGCAGAGGCUGUUCGGGAAGACAACCUGCUGAAGCUUGAAGUUGCUGAGCUGAAAUCUGUGUAUUGUGACACACUUUUCGUACCCAUUAUAGACAAUAGUUUUGUUGUUAUAUUUUUGUUAUAAGAAUAAGAAUUUAUGUUCCUAUAGGUUCAUUGAGAGGGCCCAGGCACUAUUACAUGGUGAUCUACACACUGGUUCUGUGAUGGUUACUCGUGAAUCAACUCAAGUUAUUGAUCCAGAAUUUUCAUUUUAUGGACCAAUGGGUUUUGAUGUUGGAGCAUUCUUGGGAAACUUGAUUUUGGCUUUCUUUGCUCAAGACGGGCACGCUGAUCAAACAAAUGAUCGAAAAGUAGGUCAUGUCUUCUGUGAUCCUUACUUGUGCUCUUCUUUGUAUGCUAUAGUUGUUAUUUAGUCACAUAUUUCUUGUUAUUGUCCAUAAUCUACGUAAAACUUAGACUCUUUCUUUUCUAGUGCUGUAUUUUUUAUUUCACUCUGUAGUUUUGUUUCAUGGCAGAGGCUGGUUUUCUUUAGAGUCCUACGUAUUUUUAGAUAUAUCAAGCGUUUGUACCAGAUAUUUCUGAUUUUGCUGUCUCUGCUUAUUUGUAGUUCUGAAUUUCCUGUACUGUUCUUUUGUUUUGUCUGUGAGUUGCCAAUGACUGGCGCCUUGUUAUCCUAAGAGUAGGAUUCCUGUGUAGUUUUAGUAAGUAAUCAAUCAGAAAUAUACCAGGUACUUGUUUUAGUCCAACACUAGUAACAAGUGAAGACUUGGUUUUGGGAUAGAAUUGUUUCAUUUUUGUGUUCAGCACAUGAUCUUAAACUGAGUACUUUUUAGGGGUUCCUUUCUAUGUUUCUUUUCUUUCUCCUGUUGUUUGGACUUUGUUGAAAUUUCUUAUCCUCCAACCUUGUACUUCUAUUGGUGUGUUUGGAUUUCCAUUCAAAAGCAGGAAAUGGACAUUCAAUCCAUGACACCAUGCCCAUGCCUUGACUUGAAUAUGCUUUGAAAUUUGUGCUAAUUAUAAUUCAAACACUCAUUGUUAGCUGAAGUAGCAUUGUUUUGUUUAUCAACUGUUGUAUCUUCAUCUCAUUUGGCUGGCCUUUUAUAUUCCAUCGAGUUACUGCAUCACGAUGCAGGGUGCAUAAAAUAAUGAGCUUUGGCAUUUAAACUGUAAUUCUAAAUAGUUGCCGAAGACCAUUGAUUGUUAUUCCUUACGUAAAAUUCUAUGUUGUGCAGGCCUAUAAGGAGUGGAUUCUUAAGACAAUCGAAGACACUUGGAACCUUUUCCAGCACAAAUUCACUUCACUUUGGGAUGAGCACAGGAAUGGUGCUGGUGAAGCGUAUCUUCCAGCAAUCUAUAACAAUCCCGAGGUUCAACUCCUUGUACAGAAGAAAUACAUGACAAAUUUGUUUCACGAUAGUCUUGGAUUUGGUGCUGCUAAAAUGAUAAGGUGAGACUUUUUCUCUAAUUUUUUUGCUCUUUCCAUAAAAGAUAAUGUGAGACUGCAGAUAAUAUUUUUACUAGAGAAUGAUAUAUGUAUCUGGAUUUCUUGUUUAUGUUAGCUAUUGUGUACAGCCAUUAUUGGUCACAUAAUUAAUAACUUCAGCAUUUGAAAUGGUUAUUGAUAUAGUAUUAUUAAGAUGUGAACUUUAAACCUAAUUUACCCUUAUAAAAGGUUUACACCCACUUAGUCUUUAUCUCUAGUACAACACAUCCUUCUCACUUUAGGAUAGACUCUAAAUGACUCUCUGAUAUCAUGUUGUGAAGUAAACUUUAAAUCUAAUUCAUCCUUAUAAAAUCGGUUUAUAAGGUGAGGUUUGCACUCACUUAUAUUCUAUAAAAUGUUCUUAUCUCUAAUUGACGUGGAAUUUCCAAAAAAUAUAGCAUUGUGGUUACAGUUUUAUGGUUUUAGUGACCCCACCAAAUGAAUAAGGUUGUUGUAUUACUGAUAAGGUCCUUUGGUUAAGAGUUCAUUUGAGUCGAAGCUGCAUCCAUCACUUAGGUAAAAAGUGAGCUUAUGGCUAACAAGGGCAUUGCAUGAUAUUGAUUUGAUUGACAGGAGAAUUGUUGGUGUGGCGCAUGUUGAGGAUUUCGAAUCCAUUGCUGAUGCUGCUAAAAGGGCAACUUGUGAACGGCGAGCUCUUGAUUUAGCUAAGAUGCUUCUCAAAGAAAGAAGAAAAUUUGAAGGCAUUGCUGAAAUUAUUUCAGCAAUUCGGGAAUACUAAUACACAACCCAAUACCAGCUUUUGCUACCUCAAUAAUACUUCCUUAAUGGAUCGUGUUUUCCAACGUUUUUUUUUUUGGUUGUGUACCACUAUAUACGUGUUUCCAAAAACAUUAUGUACGAAAAAUUAUAUAAAUUUUUAAGGAGAGGUUUUGUCUGAUAUUUUUUAUUUCAGGUUUAUAUAGAAUAAGAGAAAACAGUAAAUUACAAAAUAAUAAAAAAUCAUUUUCACUGCUUAUAUAAAUCAUUUUUGAAAAUAUAAAAUAAAGGAAAGAAUGAGAUGUCCAUACCCUUAACUUAAUUUUCGAUUUUGCUCCAGUUGUACAUUUUUAUAAGAUUGAAAUUGAUACUGUAUACGAUUUAAAUAAAAAAAAUUGAUGUUUAUAUCCUUUUGUCAUUUUCCUCUUAAUUUUCAAGGACAACAGUAUGAUACUAACUCUGAAAUUAAAACUCGUGUAUAUAAGUUUAAAUGGUUUUUACAACAUUUAAAUUAAAUAUAAACAUUACUUUGUUAACCUUUUUCAGGAUUUGCGUGUCUUGAUAUGAACGAAAAGGUUUAGGUCUUCGAAGACAUUGUUAUUAGAGAAAUGUUUGUAAUAUAUUUAAGUAAGGAAGAAUCAUUGUUUCUUCACAUUUGGUGUUUGCAUCAAUUUCAGCCUAUGCUCAGGUUCCAGCUAAGACACUAUUAAAAUUAAAUAAAUAAAACCCAAAUUAAAUUUUAAGAAUAAAGAUAAUAAAUAUUUCAUUCUAUCAAAAUUUUAUUUAACUGUGUUAAUUACUAAUUCAAUAACAUUUAUUUUAUUUCAUGAGUGAAAAUAAAAAUAAAAUAACUAUUUUAUUUUUAAAAAUAAAUAAAUUAAGAUUGCACGAUAAAUAGGUAAAAUUCAAAAUAAACUGAAAUCUAUAAAAAAAAAAUUAAUGGGAAAGUUCAUAAAGCUAUAUUACAAUUAGAAGAAAACUUUAUUGUAUUUUUAGAAAUUAGAUAUUUCAAUGAUUUUCUUAAAUUUAUUCAUAUAUACAUCACAACAUUUAUAUAUAUUCAUUAUUUACACUUAUUAUUUAACAAAUUUAUUAUUUACAAAAUAUCACACAUAUCUCAUGUUAUUUAAUAUAUAACAUCCUUAAACAUUUUUAUUUAAUUAUAUGUACAGAUACAUGGUAUUUUUCAAUGGUUAAACACCUUAGUUAUAUAAUAAAUAAGAUUUUAAAACACAAACGAAAUUAAUUUUUUUUGAGUGAGUCCAUAAAGACUUAUUUGUGACAUAUUACGCAAGUUCUUAGAACAGGAAAUUCUCGAGAAUUUUCAAGGAUGAGAAUUAACAAGUUACUCUAAAAAGAGUAAGAUGAAAAUGUAAGAGAAAGUGUGAGCGUGAGAUGCGAAAGAUGAAGAGAAAGUGAAGAUGUGUGAGUGAAGUGGAUGAAACCUCUCUUUAUACAGAGAGAGGAACCAGACAAUUUGUCGUUGCAUCUUCACAACCAAUUUGACAUUUUCUUCGGCCGAAAAGAUUCCGCAAGACCAACUUCACAACUGGAGCAACAAAAGCGAAUUCCAGCGGACCAAUCUCCACUACACUUCCAAAAUCUCCUCCAACAAACACCGAAAAAAGCUAGAAUUUUUCUUCUCACACUCUAUUUUUAUUUUGCAAUAUUUAUUCAUAUCUUCAUACUAAUUUUACAAGUUAUACAACAAAAUUUACUUGCAUCAACUUCAAACGUUAUUUAUAUUUUUUGUUCAUAUUUAUAUCAGUCAAAUAAUAUAACACUAAUUAUAAUCCUUUAAAUUAUAUUCUUUUUAUUUUUAUUUUACUGAAUCAAUUUAAUAUUUUACAUCAUGAUAUAAAAUUAAAAAAUAUCAAGAGGUCAGUAUCACUAAGCUAAUUGGCAAAUUAAUAAAUUGAAAAACUCAACUCAACCUACUAAAUUGACCACGAAGCAACUUGCUUUAUAAAAAAAAGUAUAAUUUCAUAAAUUUAAAAUUUCAUCGUAACAGUAUAAUUCAUAUAUAAUUUUUUUUAUUAACAAUACAAAUUUAUAAAUAAAAAUAAACCACAAAACUUAUAUAUAUAUAUAUAUAUUUAUUUAUGGUGAACAUAAAUCAAUCCAAUUUAUUCAUCCUUUUGAUCGGAUUGGCCCAUUUGGUUUGAAUUCCACAACUAUUCACAAUUAAAACAAAUUUAUCAAAUCCACCUGUGUGUAUAUAUAUAAAUAUAAAUUUAUCAAAUCGAAAAAUAAAUUUAAAAUUAAAGCACGAUUAUGUUAUGCUUAAAAACAUAAAAUGAAAGAUCCAUUAUCUUAUAUUAAGUAAGCACCUAAAAAUAUAUUAUUAUUUGGUUAUCAUUAAUCUAAUUAGCCAGAAUUUUUAUAAUAAAUUUCGAGUUUAACUAUGUUUUUAAUUCUUUUUAAUUCGGAUUUUUUUGCUUCUUCUAAAUUUAAAAGUGUUUUCUCUCUCUUUGAUUUCAAAAAAUGUUGUUUUAAUCUCUUGUUAUUAUCAUUAGAGGUAUUAUUAAUGUAGCUAAUGAAGCUUGCAUGUUAAGUGUAAUUAAUUUAGUAAUGAUUACUUAUUUUUUUUUAUCUACAUAUUGUGUCAAAUAUUUUCUCUCUCCAAAAUUUGAAAGUAUUUUUUUUCAGUUUCUAAAUUUAAAGAAAAAAUAAUCCUUAAAAUAAUUCAUUUUGGUGAUCAGGGAUAAAUUGUAGAGAGGUUAAAUGAAUUAUUACAAUGACUUUAUGAAUUAAAGAGUGAAAAUAAGUUAGUUUGAGUUAACUUGACCAUCUUUUAUAUAUUAUAUAAGGUCGAAAUCAUUUGUACCACCAAAAUUAUAUAAGUAUAAAAUAUUGACUUGAUCUUAAAUUUACAUGGCUGAAGCGAUCUGGUAAAUAUUAUCGAAAACAUGUUAAAAAUUUGAAGCAAUAAAUUAUUAAAUAUGAGAUUAACUACUAAUAAAACAUGUUACAUCAUGAGAUUUAAAAGUUAUGUUUAUAUUAAUUACGAUUCUAUAAAUAAAUUUACAUUAAAAAAAACUCAGUUAGUAUUACAAAUUGAACUUUAAGCCUAAUUCAAUUCCAUAAAACCAGUUAAUGAAAUGAGGUUUGCACGCAUUUAUAUACAAUGAAAUAUUCUCAUCUCUAGUCGAUGUGGAAUCUCCAACACACCACCUCAUGCCGAGAGUAACAGCUCGUGCGUGGGACAACAUAUUAUGGGUGAUCCGAUAACGGUUCGAUAGCGGGUGGCACAAUAAGCCCAACAAACACUCGCUAGAAUAGACUUUAAAUGACUUUGAUACCAUAUUACAAAGUGAACUUUAAGCCUAACUCAACCCCAUAAAACUGGCUCAUGAGGUGAUAUUUGCACCCACAAUAAAAUAUUUUUAUCUCUAGUCGAGAUCUCCAACAUUUAGAUUAAUAAUAAUGAUAAAAAAGAAAAAUAGAAAAUAUAGCAAUGGUGUUUGUAGAUAUGAAACGCGUGGUUGACGUGUGUAGACUGUGAAUAGGAAGUCUUCUCUUAGUGGUCUUGGUCUUUGCAGUAUUGAAAAGUAUUAUAAUGCAAAAGAGAAAACUUGCAUUGCAAAAUUCUACAAUAUAGGAUCCCUUCCCAUUCCUUCACGCAAAACCUUAUUUUUAUGUGAGUAAAACAAUUGAUGACUCACAAAAUAAAACUAUUUUUUUAUUUUUUUUUCUCUUCCUUUCGUCUCUUAUUCACUUCUCAUUCUAAACAAAAGUUGGCGUGUAUAAAUUGACUUUAUAUAUAGAUAAAAAAUGCCAAUUUAUUUCAUUCUUUUAUUUAUUAUAAACAUUGCUGAAAAAAAAGCUCAACAUAUAAUCUUGUAAAGGAAAUGCUUUGUUUUCAACAGGUGAGAUAUAUGUUAAAAGAAAAUUUAGUUAUAAACUACGGAAUAAAUUAAAAGUAUAUAUCAUCAAUUAAAAAAUAAGCUAAAAAACGAUUACAAGUUAUAAUUUUAAUUAAGAAUUGUACAUUUUUUUAUCAAUAAAUAUAAGUUUUAAGAAGCAAAGGACAUGCAUGGUCUUGGUGGUUGGUUUGAGUGAAAAGUAUAGAGAAGCUACUGGUCGUUCACGCCAUUGACUUCUUUUUAAAUGCAUGUUUGUUUCCUUAACCACAUUUUGAAUAUUCCAAGUAAUUGUCGUAUGAUCUAUAGUCCAAUCUAGUGAGAAGUGUCAAAGACAGAAAACAUCUUCCAUAAAUAGUUUAAAAUGUAACUAGAACAAUGAAAGUUUAUAUAUAUUUUUCUUGUUUAAUCUACUAUAAAGAAAAAUAUGAAAUAAAAAUCAAUUUUAAAAACUAACAAAAAUUAGUUGUUAUAAUAACUAAAUUACAGAACAUUUUAAAAACUAAAAAAAAAAAAAAUUAAAUUAGUUUCUAUUAUUGUCAAAUGGUUUCUAAAUUAGUAUCUAAUUUGGUAGCAAAAAUCUUGGUUGCUAAUUAGAUACCAAUUUAGAAACCAUUUAACAAUGAUAGAAACUAAUUUAGAAACCAAUUUUUUUUUAAUCUCUAAAAUGUUCUUUAAUUUAGUCACUAUAGCAACUAAUUAUUUUUUGUUACUAAAAAUUAAUUUAUAUUUCAUGAUUUUCUUGUAGUGAAUCCGUCUUUUAAAGCACAAAACUAUAACGGGGUACUGAGUUUCGAGUUUAAAAAAAAAAUAUUGGAUACGGUAAUUGAUCUUAGUGAUACUAUCUUCAAAGAUUUGAAGUCCAAAAUAUUUAUGAAAAUAAAUAAACAAUUAUUAGGAGGAUUUAACAUUUUUUUUAGAUUAUAAUAUCUAAGUAAUUAAGAUUAAGGAUGAAAAAAAAUUGAAGUAACAAAAUAUAUAUUCGUUAAACCUUUCAUUAAGAAUUUUGCAUCUUCAAAAAAAGAAACUCGAGCAUAGAUAAAUUGGUCCAGCUACGUCUUUCCAUAUAAGAAAAUCAAUCUGGUGCAUUAUGGCUUUGUAUUAUCUUAUAUAUUUUCUACAUGCCUCUGCUAAUAAAAAUCAUCAAUAAAAAUAUAGAAUAGCUCGUAAUUAUUUAUAUCUUCUAAACGUAUCUUCUCUUUAACUUGUCUGUGAUCUGCAUAAUCAUUUUAAACAUUUGACCAAUCAGAAUCAGUCACAACAACAUAACUCACAACAGAUGAAACAUAACUCACGACAAGUAAUAAAAACCGACAAAGAGGUUGCGACAUAGUCGCUUAUUUUUGAAUGACCAAGUUCUUAACCAUUGUUCUAGGGUAUAUUCCCAUACUUAGCCUUGUAUUCUUGCCAAAGCUGAUCCACUGUCUUCCCCAAUAGCUGAACAAAUAAUUCAUCACUAUAACCACUUCUCAUCUGCUGGUUCAGUUGUGCCACAAACCCACUCUUCAGACUAUCACAGUAAUCAAGAAAAUGAGCUGUAACAUCAUAGCCCUGGUCCCAUUUUUGUCCCUCCCCUGGUUUUUUCCAGUGGCUAGGUGCAUAGUUUGCCUUCAGCCUUACAUAGUCUGCAAUUCCUUCAAUUACUCCAGUAGGACCACUCCACUGCCAAACAUGGACCAUUUCAUGGUACAGCACCCCUGUGAUCUCUAUUCUCACAUCCCCGCUAUAGCCAUUAACGUAUCUUGCACUCACAUGAAUCUCAUCGUUGCUGGUAUAUGCAACCCCGUCCAUGUCAUCCACGAAUAAACUCACCUUCUCCACGCUUUUUCUAUCAGCAGGAGAGUUUUGCUGGAAGAUCCCCCAUAUGAAUUGGGUGGCUGAGUCCAGUGUUUGCUUGGUGUAUUCUUCUCCUAUUUCGUCACGGAAACGCACGCCACCAGGGGUUGAGAGGGCGUUGUUGGUGAAACUGUAUUCCACUGCUUCUGUUCCUUGCAUUGCAGCUAGGAACAAUAAGAAGCAGACAACAUACAUUGUCAUGGUUGGUUUUAGAGACACUUUUGGUUUCUCUUGGAGAAUCAGUGUGGGUUGGUUAUUGCAAAACCAUAGUGUUGGAUGAUUUAUAUAGCAAAAAGCCAAGGGAAAAGUGGUCGUUCCACGCCAUUGACGUUGUUUUUAGUGUUUGUAUCGUUUGACGUAAUCCAAUAAGAAGGAGCAUGGAGAGGCGACAUAAUCUAUACAAUACUUUCUUUCUUCUUUCCUUUUGGAAUGUAAAUAGUGUUUCAAUAAUAAAAGUAGGAGGAGGAAGUUUCCUCUGCAUUAAUUAAUGAUUUAUGAUUAAUCAACUGUUUUUUUAUACUUUGGUGGACUCUUUAUUUUAAUCGUUAUACCUCAAAAGUACCAGAAUGUAAAAAUAUGAAGACUAAAAUAUAAAAACUAAAAUGUAAUAAAUGCAAGUAUAAAAAUUAAAUGAUUAGUUAUAAAUCUAACAAAAAUCAAGGCUAUGUUUGCUCACAAAACAAAAUUAUUUUAUUUUUUGUUUAUGUUCAAAUAUAAAAAUAUUAUAUUAUUUUCUUUUCUAAAAUUUAUAUGUUAGAAAAAAUUAUCACCAUAAGUUGCAAGAUUUGUGAUUGUAGUGAUCACCGGUUUUUAAAAUAACUAUAAAAAAAAAUGUAUGCUUUAUUUGUUUUUCUAUUGAACAUUUUUUAAGAAAAGAGAAAACAUUUUUUUUAAAAGUAUUUUCUAAAGUCUAUUCAUUUAUAUAUAUAUAUAUAUAUAUUAUAUUUAAGUUAUAUUUUAAAAUACUAAAUAAUUUAUAUAAUAUGUUGGAUUACUACCUAAAAGUUGAUAGAGAAAAUUAUGUCAAUAUAUCACUUUCGCCUCCAUCAACGCUGCAAUCCUGAUUCAAACACAAACAGUGUUAUAAAAAAAAAAGUUAGAUACUAACUUUAAAAUUAAGUUAUUAAUAAUAAAAACUACUUUAAAUAAUAAUAAUUUUUAAUUUAUAAUAUUUAAUUUAGUUUCUAAAUUUAGUUAUUUAAUGAUUUUUUUUUUAAUUUUUAGGUAAAAUUUUAUUUGUUUAAAAAAUUAUAUUUUUUUAUUUUUAUGGAAAUUUUAAUUUUUCAUAUAAAAAAUUAAAAUAAUAUAUAUAAUAAAAUCAUGCAUAAAUAUAUAUAGCAAUUAUUUAAUUAAUAUCUACUAAUACAAUUUAAUUUUAGUCUGUACCUUACAAAAUCAAUGUGUAAAAUAUUGAUAUUAUGGUUUGGGGUGUUUAUAAGUGUUGGUCAAAUGUAAUAACUUGAAUUUGAGUUAUUUGAGAAAUUUAGAUGCCAUUUGGAACCACAUGAUAUUUUGUUUUGGAGUUUAGGGGUUCAGAGUUUGUGUGCCAUUUGGCACAGUAACUUGUGGUCAGAAAACAUAGAUCUUGCUGGUUUCCAUAAAUAGGGAAGACAAACCUAAUAGAUAAGAUCUUAUGAUAAAUAUUUUAGAAGAUGGUUGAUACGUUCACAAUUUUAUAGCAACUGUUUUUUUUAUUAAGAUGAAAUAAUUUUAAAAUUACAUUUUUUUAUUUUUUAUUUUUUUAAUCAGCAAUAAAGAUUUAAUAAAUAGAAGUACUAGGGGUACUCCAACCCAUGUACAAAAUUUCUUAUGCUAGAGAAAUGAGGUUUCCAGAUAACAUGCCUAAACAUAGACAUAUUCUACAUAUAUAUCUGCUAAUCUUAAUUAACCUCUUAAAAACAACAAGAUGUCAAUACAUAAACCAAAUUAGCUAUCAAGGAAUCCUGUAACUUAGUCCAGUUCCAGACUAUAAGCGUAUCAGCUCAAAAGAAAGACUUUGCCUCCUUGCUAUCUACUGCAUUUUCCAAGCAUCCAUUAUGAUUAUAGUUGUACCCCAAGGGUAUUCCUCUCCUGCAAAUCAAGAAUCCAACCAAAAGCAAAGAAAUGACGUUAAUCAUCAAUGUAGUGAUUUUAAACAUUCAUAUACAUUAAUACACCAAUCAAAAUAAGAAAAAUUUGACUUUGAAAAUUUAUAACUUAUCAUGUCCAAUUUUAAAAUUACAUUAACCAUAUCACAAUUUUAAACUCAAUAAUUGUCAAAUUAAUAUUAUAUAUAUAAGAAACCUCACAAUUUUAUUUUUCUUUCCAUCUGGCUCUCUCUCAUUUCAUCAGUGAGGUCAAGAAUGGGAAUUGAUAUAAGUGAGGUGAAGCUUUUUUCUGGAAAUAAUAAUUAAUUAUUUGAAAAUUUCAAUGCUCAAUAAUAAAUUUCAAUACAUCAAAUAAAAAAAUUUAUUUAUAAAAUAAGCAUAUCUUAAACUCUUCCAACUUUAAUCUAAACAUACACGCAUUUAUUAAACUUGCAGGCAUGCCUCACAGUGACUUAGAGGUAUUAGGAUUUAUAGUAUGCUUUUAUACUAAAUUUAGGUUUUUGUCAGACUUUUUAUUAUUAAAGAACUAUCAUAUCUCCCCACAUUUUAUUUUAUAUUUAAUUUCCACAUUUUAGUUGGAGUGUAUUAGCAACCUACCUUUAAAAUUUAAGAAAAAAAAUUUCAUUAUUAGAUCAUUAUAUAUAAUAUCUUAUCACAGAUUAUACAUAACUUGUGCGAAUUUUUUAAAAAAAUCUAUUACGAAGUGAACUUUAAGUCUAACUCAAUCCCAUAAAACCGACUCAUGAGAUUGAGAUUUGCACCCACUUAUAUACAAUGAAAGGCUUUAAUCUCUAGUCGAUGUGAGAUCUCCAACAGAAUCCAAUAAUUUUAUAUCUAAGUUUAUUAUACCUUUUAUUCUGCUUUUAGUAUUAACUUAUUUUAUUUUUUACCUUUCAUCAUCUAUGUUUUCAUUUUUUAUUUUAACACCAUAGUUUCUUGGAUUGAAAAUCAAUUAAGCAUGGUGGAAUGAAGAUUCAACAACCCAAAGAUUUAAUAACUUGUUCUAGCUUGGAUAAAAGUUUCCAUUUAUUCAACAGCAGAUCUAAGAGCUGAUACAAUUUUAUUGAAAAACAUAGUGAUUAGUGAUUUAUUGUUUAAAUUGAAAAGCUCUUAGCUAUAGGUCUCUUGGGCAAUAUUGCCAUACUUGGCCUUAUAGUCUCGCCACAGCUGAUCCACUGGUUUUCCCAGUAACUGAACAAAGUAUUGAUCACUGUAACCACUCCUCGACAACUUAUUCAAUUGUGCCACAAACCCACUUCUGAGACUUUCACAAUAGUCCAAAAAACGAGCAGUAACAUCAUAACCCUGGUCCCAUUUCUGACCUUGCCCCGGUUUGACCCAGUGGCUAGGUGCAUAGUUUGCCUUCAGCCUCACGUAAUCUGCUAUGCCUUCAAUUAGCCCCCCAGGAACACGACCAUUUCCAUUCCACUGCCAAACGUGGACCAUUUCAUGAUACAGCACCCCUGAAAUCUCUUUCUUCACAUCCCCAUUGUACUUUCCAACAUAUCUUGCACUCAAAUGGAUCUGAUCUCCGCUAGUGUAUGCAACUCCAUCCAUGUCAUCUACGAAUAAACUUACCCUCUGCACGUUUUUUCUGUCGGCGGGGUUGCUUUGCUGAAGGAUCCUCCAUAUGAACUGGGUGGCAGAGUCAAGUGUUUGCUUCGCGUAUUGUUCUCCUAUUUUGUCACGGAAAGCUACACCACCAGAAGUUGUCAGUGCCCUGUUAGUCACAGCGUACUGAACUGCAUGUGUUUGAUGAAAUGCAUGUAAGAAUACUAAAAAGCAAAGAGCCUGUUUGAUCAUGGUUGCGUUUUCAGCCUUAUGGGUUCCUUUGGUGAACAAGUUUAUGGUUUAUCACUGCACAAGGAUUCAGUUUGGUGCUUGCUUUUUAUAGAAAACAAGAGCUCCCUCACUUCCAUGCUUUUCAUUUUUUAUUUUUUAUUUUCAAAGUACGCAACCUAACUUUGAAUUUUCAAAUGGGUGUGUCAUCAUAUUCAAGUCAAUUUUUCUUUUCUUAAAUACUCAAUAGGUAGAGUGGGCCAAACUUGUCAGUAUGGGUCACUUACACUAAUUUUUAGUGUAAAAUAAGUUUUUACUGCAACACAUAGAAGUUUGUUUUUUUAUUUUUUAAAAAUAUUUGUAUUUAAGUGUUUUGACAUAAGAUUUGUUGAAAUAACAUGGUUAAAAUUAAUUAUUAUAUUUUAAAUAUUGUUUGUUUUGAAGAUUGACGAAAUUUGUAAUAAAUUUAAUUUUAAUAAAUUAUUUUUAACUACAAGUUUUAAGAUAGGUGUGACUAUUAAAAAAUAAAAUUACAAUCUUUUAAUAUCAUAAAUAGAUUUAAAAUAAGAUAAAAUCAAAUGAAAAAAUGGAUUAUUUUUACAAAAUUGAGACAAAUUUUUGUCCACAAUUACAAUGGAUCGUUUUUGUAAAAAAAGUUGUUCGAAUAUUACAUAAUUUUAGUUCACAGUAACUAAACAAAAAUUGUGUUACGUCAUUUCUUAACUUUAGAAAGUGAUCUCAUUUUAAUAAUAAGGAACAAGUUUUGGUCAAAAACCCGAAAAAGUGGAUUGCAAUAAAUAGUGCUGAUGUAUUUUUAAUUUUUUCAGCAAAGUUAGUCUUCUUGGAAAUGAAAUUCGGUGAGAAUUGGAUAUUGAAAAUAGUCUGGAGUAUAAUUCGGUGAGAAUUGCAUAUUUUUUUUUUAGAGUAAAUACUCUGGUCUCUUUUUAAUGUAAAAGAAGAGGUUCAUCUAAGAAAGACUCUUCAAUACUUAAGUUAAUAGGAGAACAAAAAUAAUAAGUUCUUAUCAAUAUGAAAAUUAAAAAUAUGAAAUUAGAUAGAUUGUACUUUCUUGAGAGUCAUUUAUAAGCGAAUGGUAUCACUACAAGAAAACUAUGAAAUAAAAACAAUUUUUAAAAAAAAAUAAUAAUUAGUUGUUAUAAUAACUAAAUUAAAAACUAUUUUAAAGAUUAAAAAAAAUUUGGUUUCUAAAUUAGUUUCUAUUAUUGUUAAAUAAUUUUAAAAUUGAUAUUUAAUUAAUAAUUAAGGUUUUUCUACCAAAUUAUUUAGAUUAUAUAUUUGAUUUUGUUUGUUGAACAAGUUGACGGUUGAUCAGUGCAAGGAUUCAGUUAGGUGUUUCCUUUUUAUACAAAACAAGACCUCCCUUACUUCCAUGCUAUUCAUAUUUAUUAAUCUAAUGUGAUAAUGAAACAUUGAUUAAAUCAAAUUUAUUGAAAGAGAGAAAAAAUAACACUGAUUCUAUUCAUAAUUUUUAAUCUAAUGCGAUAAUGAAACAUUGAUUAAAUUAAAUUUAUUGAAAAAGAGAAAAAAUAACACUGAUUUUAAGAUUUUAACAUCAAAAAAACUUAAUUAAGUUAAUAAUAAAAAAAAAUAGAGAAUGGUAGCAGUGGUCUUAUAGAUAAGUGGUUGACGUGUGUAGACUGUGAACAGUAAGUCUUCUUUUAAUGGUCUUGGUCUUCGCAGUACUGGAAAGUAGUAUUAUAAAGUAUUUGUUUUUAAUUUUUAUUUCUAAAAAUUUGAAAUCAAUAUUUUUAAUAUUUAUUUUAAAAUAGAUAAAAAUAAAAUUAUAGUAUAAAUCUUACACAUUCUAACAAGUAAAAUUAUUAACUAAAGAUUCAAAAGCAAAACUCAUUUAUUUUAAAUGAAUUAAAAUAUAUUUAAGUAAUUUUUUUUGACAAAAAUUCACAUUUAUGGUAAUGAGGUCAAUGUUCCCCUUUCCUAAUCAUUUUAUUUUUAAAAAAUAAUAUGUAUGUAUAAUUAUAAUUUAUUCUCAUAACUUAUAAUGUAAAAAGAGAAAUUACACUCUUCUCAUUUCCCACCUAAAUAUUCGUAACAUUUUAUCUCUUCUUUUGCUUGAAAGUGCACUUAUUUAACAUCUCUACGGAAUAAAUUCUCUCUAUUGUUUCAUUCAAUCUAACUUUGGUUUAUCUUAGUACAUUAAUUUUAUCUUUUUAUCUGUUAAUUGAUAUCUUUAAAUAUGUCUUUAGUUUCUACAAGAAAUUAAUUUACAUUAAUAUAACUUACACCAAUAUACUUAUAGAUAAAAUAAUAUUUUCUAAAAAGAGCUUAAUUUAAUCAAGAAAAAAGAAGACCAAUUUAUAUGUGUAAUUUAUCAUUAAGAAUAUAUUAAUGUGAAUCAAAUAAAGAAUGAUAUAUUUAAUUGUUCCGGUACUGUCAAUAAUCGAGGUCAAUAAUAUUUUAUAUACUCCUUCAUUCAAUUCAUUAAGGUGUCUUUUGAGGAUAAAAUCGUAAUACUUCAAAUACGAUGAUUGAUCCUAACAUACUUCUCGUUUCACAUUAUUUAAGAACCGAGACCAAAGAUAAUUGAUAUACUCUUUUUCUCCCUUAAUCAUUCGUGGUUUUAUGAUAUCCAAAAAAAAAAAUCAUAUUAGUAAAUGUUCCUACAAAUCUAGAACUUUGUAGAACACUUCUUCCAGUUGCAAUCUCCUCGUCUUUUCGAUCUCUCGGGUAGGCUUCUUUCGGUUGAAUUUCCUCUAAUUUGAACACGAUGGAGGAUGUGCCUGAGAAGACACUCCGAUGAUAAAUUAAGUUCAAGAAUUAGGUAUCAGGAGAGUAGGGAGUGAACAGUUACCUCGAGUGUUGUGCCUCUCCCUUUAUUUAUACUGUUAUGGAUGGAUUCUGGCUGUUAUGGAUCUGCUUUGAGUCCAGUUGGAAGCCCAAUUACACCUUAACCAUGUUUUGCAUUUAAUCUGGUUUAUUCUUGUCUAAUUACGUAUUUGACUGUAAUCUUGUUGGCUAGUCCGUCAAUCGUAAUACAGUAAAGAAUAAAUGAAAUUUAUGUCCAAUUUCAUGAAACAAUUUUGAGAAACAUGUAAAAAAGAUUAAAAAAAAAAAAAAAGGAAUCCGAUUCAUUCCUCCACUACUUAGUGCAGGAGGAACAAGAAAGAAUUGGGGGAGAAAAACAAUAGAUUAGACUAUAUGGGUUGAAAAUGGGCACUUCAAUUUUUUCUUACUUUGUUGUCAUUCGUCAACAAAGUAUUACAACUAAUAGCAGUUAGGUUUCAUUGCAUAAUAAUAGUUGUUUGCACUCACAUACAAAGUAAUGGUAACAAUCAUUGUUUGCAGUCGAGUUUAAUAUUAUUUUUAAGUUUUUAAGAUUAUUUUAUUCUUAAAUAUACUUUUAAGGGUAAAUUUACCACUUAAUUAGAUAAUAUUUAUCAUUAAAUUAUAGUAUGGAAAUUGAAUUGAAUAUUUAGCAUUGAGAAACUAUUUUUUUAACAACUAAAUAGGCAACAUGUUGAAUAUCCUGCUCCCAAAAUCGAAAUAUCCGAUAUUGAAAAUACUAAGAUUAAUUAUCUCAAAAUUGGAAACCUCCUAAAUGAAAAAUUCAUUAAAACAAAUAAAAGACAUUUAAUCAACACAAAUCUAAUCAAGAAAAAAUUACUUAAUUUUAUAAAAGUCAUAUUAAUCUUAUAAAAAUGUUCAUAUUUACUAUAUGCUGAGUUGAAUUGUUUUUAAAUAAUGAUACGCGUGUGAAAAAAAAUAUGAUUUUUUUUUUUAAUAAUAUUGACUAAUAAGAUCUAAAGUUUCUUAGAAAUGUUUGAAGAAGUCAAAACAACCUCCAACUUACAUCUCUACAUCAUAAAUAUAAAUAAAUAUUGGCAAAUGUUUCUUGUAACAUAUCAAUUUCAACAUAACCCAACCUAUUAUUAAAAAUGACAAAAAUGUCCUUCUAAAAUAACGAAAAUAAUAUUAAGAAAAGAAGGGUGUAAAUAAAAAUUAAUUUUGAACCCUUUUAUUCAGACAAAUUCUAAUUUAGAUAUCUCACUAUAAGAAAAUCAUGAAAUAAAAAUCAAUUUUUAGACACCAAAAUAAUGAGUUGCAAUAGAGACCAUUUUAGAAACUAAAAAAAAAUGGUUUCUAAAUUAGUUUUUAUUAUUGUUAAAUAGUUUCUAAAUUGGUAUCUAAUUAGCAACCAAAGUUUUAGAGAGCAAAUUUAGAAACUAAAUAAUUGGUAGUUAAAACCUUGGUCGCUAAUUAGAUACCAAUUUAGAAACUAUUUAACAGUAAUAGAAACUAAUUUAGAAACCAAUUUUUUAUUUAGUUUUAGUUUCUAAAAUGGUUUCUAAUUUAGUUACUAUUGAAAUUAAUUAUUUUGGUAUCUAAAAAUUGGUUUCUAUUUCAUGAUUUUUAUUGUAAUGUCUAUAACACAUUUUUAAAUUUCAAAAAUUUUUAUCCAAAAUGCAUUUUUAAUUUUGUGUUCCGGAUUUUUUUUAUCUAGAAUGUAUAUUUUUUAUUUUGAAUUAUAUUUACUAUUCCAGAUUUUUAAAUCUGGAAUAAGGUAAUUUUGGAAAUUUCAAAAAGUGAUAGGUGCAGAUUAGAAUUGAUACGGUGCAAGAAGAAAUUGUGAUAAAUAUUCUAUGUAAGCCCAUUGAUCCAUUAACAAAACAAACUCUUUAGUAGGCUUUUAGUGGGCUCAAUUGGCCAUGAGGAGGCCCGAGUAGAACAGAGAACCCUGUUUUUGUACAUCAGAAAAACUUAAGAAUAGAACAGGAAACAAAACAAAAGACGCUGCCUAUGGAAAAGUGACCAUAAAUCCUAGCAAUGGCAAACCACUUCGGUUACUUUAAUUACAACUCCAACUAAAAGAUUCAGUGGUAAAACACUAGAAGAGACAGUGACAAGUAUGUUGCUUGGAGAUCUCACAUUCAAUUAGAAUAUUUUAUAAAUCGGUGUAAAUUUCAUCUUAUAAGUCAAUUUUAUAAAGUUGAAUUAGACUUAAAGUUUAUUUUUAUAUAAUGUUCUAGUCAACUUAAGGUCGGUCGGAAUCUGGAUGAGCAAGACCUUCUAGAAAUGAGAGGGACUCUUCCUGCGAUGACACUCCGACGCUCAAGUCAGUAAGAGCAUAAAUAUGAUGAGUACAAUAUGAAAUAGGAGUUGAGAGUACUCCUUGUGUUGUUUAUUAGAUGAUGAUGAUUAGAUCAUAUAUUAGAUGAUCUUUGUUGUAGAGCGUAAUAUGGUAUAUAUAAAUCGAAUUGUAACAUCUCCACCUUUAGUCAUGAUUAUACCUUAAUUGAGUAAUUAAAGUUAAUUGAUUGAGAUCCCUUGAAUUGUGCUCCCUCAUAAUGUUAGAUACAUAGGUCGGGAAACAACCCAUAAAUGACCAAACAUCAGACUACACCCAUGACCUAAUAAUAUAGUAUGAGAGUCAAUCUAAAUAUACCUUAGAAAAAUUUGUUAAACUUAUUCGAACUCGUGUUAUCAAAUCAUUAUUAUUAUCAGACCAUCAACAAUAUAACAUUCUCGUAUAUAACAACGAUUUCAAAAACAUGUCUCGAGUCAAUAAAUUUAUGUACUAUAUAAUUUCAUGUGUAUGUGCUUUUACACAAUCAAACAUAUCUAUCUUUGGAUCUCCAAUCUUAUAAACACAAAAUUGUGACUGAAAAAAGAGAUUUCUUUAAAAAUAAUUAGUCAAUUUUUUACAAGAAUAAUUAUUAAUAAAAUCAAUUGAUAUUUCCUAACAUAUUAUGGCCGCACAAGAGGCCUAAGACUCUAUAUAUAUUUGCUCGAGCUUGAAACAAAAAAGUGUUGAACUAAUAAUGUCAGCUCUUCAUUUGAUCUAGGGACUUUUCUUAGUUAUUACCAUGCAAAUCAUACGGAAAAAAAAAUAUCAAACAGAGGAAAUAAAUUGGUAAUAAAAGUUUUUUAUUAAUUAUACACUUGGAGCAGCUUUCAAACCCACAAAAACAUUACAGUAUUUCACAGAAUUUGAAAAAAAAAGAACGUUAAAGACUUCAAUGACCUCGCCCUCUGUGACUAGGUCCAGAAUAAGCCCGAUUGAUGAAUAAAGCAAUGAAGGAAGGUGAAGAAUAUUGAUCUUUGAGAGAUUUUCUGGCCUCAACAUAGUUGGAGUAUGAGAGCAAGAGCACGAAGAGGGUGAAAAAUGCCACUACAAGAGAGUAACCCUUCAUUUUUGUAGCUGCUAACUACCCUCUUAAUCUGCACAGAUAUACCAAAAAAUGACAAGUACUGAUCCAAGAUUAAUGUCAUAUUUAUAUAUUGGAUGUGUGCGUGUGAAGGUUGAAAACAAAGACAUUUUUGUGUCUUACUUCGGUUUUGUGGGGACCUAGGUAUGGUAGCAGAAUUUGAAGGUUAUCAGUAUUUGCAGUGAAUUGAAUUAGAUAUAAGACUGAAGAUAAAAUAAUUUAUAGUCUUCAAAUAAGACUCGGUAAAAGGUGUGGAAAACAAAAGUUGUCCAUGUUUUUCAAAAACCAAGUUAACAUAGUUUACAAUAUCACGUGUCUUCUUCUUUUAGGUUUAAAUACAUACAUAAAAAACAAUAUAACUCACGUUACCAUGAAGUCAUGCAUUAAUCUUAUCUUGGGACAAUGCCUUUAUAAAUACUUAUCAUGUAGCCACACACUGUUUUCUUCUUCCACUUCCUCCAUAAAGAAUAAGAAUGCUAAAACUAGUCCUGCAAAGAAUAUAUAUCUAUUUUUUGUUGUUGUUACAUAGUCCAAAAUGAGAAGUGAAGUGAAUUCUUAAUUGGUAUUGGAAAAGACUGGGAAUUGAGUUUGAAUUGGUCUGUUGUUUACUCUCAGCAUUUUCAUAGAUUGAUCAACAUCCCCAGUCAUUGGUCUAACACCAUCUCAGCAGUCUAUAUAGGCUUCAGACUCAGAAUCCAUUCUCAUAUCUAUACAUUGCCAUUAUUCAUAUAUGUAUAUAAGUCAAACAUGACAGACAAUAUUGACAUAAUGACAUUCAAAACAAUUCUUUUAAGCAAACUACUUUUAGGUCAAUUCAGUAUUCACAUCUGCAUUUACACUCAAUCAAUGAAUUGGUUAAAACCAAUCCAAAUUGACUUAGUGGCUGCUGACUCCUGAGGAUCAAAUUUCUUGGCUUCACGUUGCUACGUAUCAGUUUCUGAUGUCAUGCAGGAGAAAUGUGUAAGAAUGGUUAUUAUUGAAAACUGCAGCAGACAUCUCAGCAAGAAAGCCACUUUUGAAGUAUGUCUGUGCAUUUAAUUUUUAAUUUGACUCAAAUUUGUAUUUAUGGUCCCAACAUCACUGCCUUUCACUUAUUGAAUUAAUCUUCUUUCUUUUGUAUGACUAAACCGAGUUCAUCUUGCAUUGAGUAAUAUCUACCAAAUUUCAUAUCAUCUGCAAAAUUCCAUGUCAUGGAAUAUAAAUUGAAGAGCAGCAUGCAGCAUGAAGCAUGAAUCCAAAUAUUUUGUAUCCUAUAACUUUUUGAAUGAUCGACAGAAGUUUUUUAAAAAUCUUGUGAUCAUAUUAUAAUUGAUUUAAAUUUGUAUUACUCUAUUGAUCACCUUACCUACUACUUUUAAAAAGUUUUCCUUAAUUAAAUUAAAUUCAUUGCAUUGUUAAGGUAUCAAAGAAAAAAGUUGUCUAAAAAACAAGACAAUUUGGCGUUAAUGAAGGCUAACUUUGUAAUCAAACUAAAGUACUAAAGUACUUGUUAAACUGUUAUGAAAUUCAUAAUAAAUAAAUAAAUAUUUUAAUCAUAUCAGACAAGAAAAUCAUAAAAUAAAAACCAAUUUUUAAAGACUAAAAUAAUUAGUUAAAAUAGUAACUAAAUUAGAGACAAUUUUAGAAACUAAAUAAAAAAUUGAUUUCUAAAUUAGUUUCUAUUAUUGUUAAAUAAUUUUUAAAUUGGUAUCUAAUUAGCAAUCAAGCUUUUAACUACCAAUUAUUUAGUUUCUAAAUUUGGUUUCUAAAAUCUUGAUUGCUAAUUAGAUACCAAUUUAAAAACUAUUUAACAAAUAAUAAAAACUAAUUUAGAAAUCAAUUUUUUUGUUUGUUUUUAAAAUGGUUUUUAAAUUAGUUACUAUUGCAACUAAUUAUUUUGGUCUCUAAAAAUUAGUUUCUAUUUCAUAAUUUUUUUAUAAUGUACAUUAAUUAUUUUUAAUUUACAAUAAAUAAUUUAAAGUGUGAUAAUGAUCAUUUUAAUUGUAUUUAAUUUUAAUUUAGAAGUAAAGAUAAAGUAUUGUAGAUUAAAUAAUUUAGAUAAAGAAAAAAAUGGAGUGGAUAUCUAGGUGAGAGUGUAGGAAGGAAGAACUUAACGCUUUUUUCACGCAACUUUUACAUUUUCGAAAAUAUAAAAAUGAAAUUUAUAUUUCUCUGUUUAUCAGAAGAUUAUAAAAAUCAUGUAUAUUUUUGGAUAUGUUUUGUUCUCAAUAAACUACAUCUCUUUAUCUGUAUAAUUUUUAUUGUUGUGUUAAGGAAUGAGUAAAUGAUAUUUUUAUGGGUGACUUUAUAACCUCCAGUACAAUUUUUAUUUAUUUUAUAUUUUAAUUAGUUUAAAAUUUAGAAAGUAUUCUUGGAAAUAUAAAAAAAAAAACUAACCAAAAAUAUUUUUAGACAUGCCUAGGAAUAAAUUUUCAAUUAUAAUAUUUCUAUCCAUUACAUUAUCAAGAAUAUAAAAUCUUGAAACAAACAUUUUAACCAUAAGAAAAGAACUGAAGGUUUUUCAUUAUAAUUUACGUGCUUUAAUUCAUAAUAUAAAAGUAUAUGAAACAUAUUUUGGGUUUACACGGACUUUAAAAAAGGAAUAGGACUGUUCCUUCUUGCAAUUCCAUAAGUUUUCAAAUUUCCAAAAGUGUCUCUUUAUAAUAUUUCGGAUUACGUAAUUCGGAAGUCAUUUUUUAAAUUUGUAAUUAGCUACCGGAUUACAUAAUCCAAAAGUCAUUUUUUAGAUGCAUGAUUAUUCUUUGGAUUACAUAAUCCGGAAACUACUCUAUGGGAGUGACACAAGAAGGACAAAAAUGUAUUUUCAUGUUGUGUAUGGAGGUGGCAGAAGAAGAUAUGGAGGUGCAGGAAGAAACAGUCAUGGAAUAGAUAUAUAAUUAAGACGAAAGAUGGGCUCAGUCUCGUCAUGAAAGAUGGGUUUAUCUGCACAUUAGGCCCAUAUCAUUAGAGAAAGCCUAAUAACUUUUUUAAUUGACUUUACAAGUAAUGGGCUUUCGGUGUGUUGUCUUUUUCUGAGCUUUUUCUUUCUGCACCCAACCAAUUCUAACCUGAACCUAUCAAUUUUUGAAAUUCUAUAAUUCUCCUGGAAUUGAAAAUUCAAAACUGAAAAAUAUAUUCUGGAAAAUAUAUUCUUUUUCAUUCAGAAAAUGAAAUUUUAGAACAAAAUUGAAAACCCAGAAAAGUCAAAUCUAAAAUACAAAUAAUACAUUCUGAAAAAAAAAAUCUAGAAACAUAUCUGCAAAAAAUAUUCUAGAAAAUAAAAAUCUAGAAGCAUAUUCUGGAGAAAUUAUUCUAGAAAAUUGUUUUAUAAAUCCAAAUCCACGAUUGUAUUCUGGAAUACCAAAUUAUUAAUAUAUUUAUCAUUUCCCCUCACUAAUAGAGUGCAUGUUCAAAUUUUUGGGUGCAGGAAUCAAAACUGUUAUUUUCAGUUCAGUAAGUCGAUUGUUAUAAGGCAAUUUUUAAAGCUUGUUACCAAUUAUUUUCAACUAUGUAUAAUUCAUAUUAAUAUCAUGAUUAAAAAAUUAUUUAAAGCUGAGUACUCUUUUGCAGAAAAAAAAAAGUUAGUAUGAGAGUGUCAUGAUUUUUUUUUACAAAAAAUUUAAUAACUAUUUUUUUAUUUAUAUGGGUCAGCAAGUAAAUUUGUUCCUGCUAUUAACCCGCGUGGGUUGCGGGUUAUAUAGAGCGGAUCAAAACGGAUUAACGGAUUAGAUUAUUAAACUCGCUUUGCAUUUUUUGGUAGCGGCUCACGGACCCACCCGCAUGACCAACUCCGUAUUAUCACCCUUAAUUCGCACUAAUUAACCUAAUUCAGCUAUAAAAAAAAACUUACUAAAGGUGUUAACAUGUAUUGAAAACUCUAAUAUUCCUAUUAAAACAUGUUAAUUUGUUGAUCAAUUUACACCAUCAACGAAUUUUUACAUAAUAUGAUUUUUCAAUCUAAUAAUUUUUUCUAUGUUUACUGCUUGUGAGAAUUUUUUUAUCAAAUUUUGGAAAAUAUAAAUACAAAACUACAGAAUUUUAGUUUUAUAUAUUUAGAAAGUGUGUAAUACAUCAAUUGUGUAAAAAAAGAAGAAGGAAGUAUCAAACUAUAUAAUGAGUUCGUAUGGAAUUUGUAAAUAAGAUCUAUAUGAUGAGAACUCUCAAAUUCAAUCCAACUGAAAUAUUUUGAUAAAUUUAUUCAAUAAAAAAAUUUAGAGAAAAACUACAAAAAUCUCAAUGCAAAAUACGAUAUCAAGGUAAUUAUAAAUACUUAGCUCAUUGUUCUACAAGAAAAGUAAAUGAUAGAUUUAUAAAUAUAUAAUCAAGAAUGAAAUUUGGAGCAAGGAACAUGAUCAACUAUUUAUAUAUAGUUGUGGAGAAAUAACAUUUCACCAAAGGUUAAGGUAUGGAAAGUAAUGUUUAUCAGAGAAUCUUAUACCUUGACAUUCAACUCUUUUACUAAGUCCACUAAACGACCAAUAAUAAUAUUAUUUUAAUCAUUUUUAUAUCAUUUAAUUAUAAAUUUUGUUUUUUUAUUUAAAAUUUACCCUUUUUUUUCUAAAACUAACAAAUCAAAAGUCGUUAAACUCUAAGACAUGUGAAAGUAUAGUUUUCCUUAAGGAAAAUACUAACCAAGAACAUUUUGUUUAAAAGAAAAGUGUUGCAAAUCCACUAUGAAAAUUGACUCACGGGUGUCUUGUUCACUUGUUCUAAACCUUACAAUAUAUGGGAAGUGUUGCACGUGGAUAAACAUGAAUGUUGUACUACAUAGUAUUCCAAAAAUUUAUUAUAACCAAAACUAUGUUUCCUGGUUCAUGUUUAAGAAAAUAGAAUGGGAUAUCCUCUUAUUUGUUGUUGUCUAUAGUUUAUAUGGAGGUAGAAAAAAUUAUUUGUUGUUAAGAAGUGGACUUUAGGCCUAACUCAACCCCAUAAAAUCGGCCUAUAAAACCAGUUCAUAGGAUUGAGGAUUACACCUACUUAUAUACAAUGAAUUGUCCUCAUCUUUAGUUGAUGUGGGAUCUCCAUCACACCCCCCUCACGCCGAGAGUGAUAGAUAGAAGCUCGUGCGUGGGAUAACAUAUUAUGGGUGGUGGUCUGAUAAACCCAACAAACACUCUCGGCAUGAGGGGGUGUGUUGGAGAUCCCACAUCGACUAUAUAAGUGGGUGCAAACCUCAACCUUAUGAGUCGGUUUUAUGGGGUUGAGUUAGGCUUAAAGUUCACUUUGUAAUAUGGUAUCAGAGUCAUUUCGAGCCUAUCCUAGCAAGUAUUUGUUGGGUUUAUCAGGCCACCAUCCAUGAUAUGUUAUCCCACGCACGAGCUUCUAUCUAUCACUCUCAGCGUGAGGGGGUGUGUUUGAGAUCUCACAUCUCAUAGAGAUAAGAACAUUUCAUUGUAUAUAAGUGGGUGUAAACCUCAAUCUUAUAAAUCGGUUUUAUGGGAUUGAGUUAGGCUUAAAGUCCACUAUGUAAUAUUUGUGUUCCAAGAUAAGGGAUUUUAUGAAGGUAAUCCACCAAGUCAAGUUCCUUAGUAUGGACAAUGAGAUGAAUCUCACCAACUCUCCACGGGAAAAAAAAACUCAUAACUUUGUUUUCUUAUAUAAUUUUUCUCAAUGACUCAGAAACUUAAGGCUACGUUAUUGAAGGUGGGAGAAGAUGACGUAUAUUAUCUGAAUAUUCACUAAUGGUCCCACGAUAAAUAAGUGUAUUUUAGUUUUCUAAUUUUGUGUGUGUGAAUGAAACCUUUGUUUUGAGUGUUUAUUUUUACACGGUAAACAAGUAGAGUAUAACCAAUCUUUUUCAGAACGACCUUCACUUUUAUGUUCCCAAGUUGUAUACAUUAAUUGAUAACUCUUGCACCAAUUUUAGUACAUGUUUCUAUUGCUUGAGUUAAAAAAAAACAUUAAAUGUAUUAUUUACUAGAUCAAAUACUAAAGAGAGAGAAAAGAUAGUUAUAAAUGAGAAUGCAUUGUUCUAUAGUUGCAAUGAGUUGUUGUAGUACAAAAAACACGCGCACCCAGGUCAAAAAAGCAAGGUAAUUAAUAACUCCAACAGUAUGCUUAGUUUAAAACAAAUUCUGCAUAGAUUCAUAAAUAAAAACAUACACAAUUAAUUUCCCCAAAGUUACAACUUACCACCAUCUCUUCAAUUCAUCGUUUUCAUCUUCUCCACUCUUUUUCUUCGAACACCGUGUCCAUCUUUAAACAUCGAAUAUCUUUCAAAUUCCAUUCUUCUUCACCAACUUUCCACAGUCCUAAUAUUAACGAUUUUAUGUACAAAUGUAGCAAUUUUAUCACUUCUUGCUUACUCUCAGUUUUGAAAAUAAUAGUUAAAGAGAAAUAUCUUUUUUAAAAUCAAACAAUCAAAAUGAAACUGAGAAACAAUAAUCCUUUCUUCCGAUUCUAGGAGAUGAAUCGGCACGGUUUCUUCCGGUUCUAGGAGAUGAAUCGGCACGGUGGAAGUCAUUGUUCCGACCUCAAGUCGGUCCGACCUCAAGUCGGUUGGACAACCACAUUGUUAGGGUUAAUCACCGUAUUCGAGGUAUUUCACUUUGAAGGUCAGUGUUUCGUCACGGUUUUAUCCUGAAAAUACGCAUUAAGGGAAUAUAUAAACUCUCAAUUCUUAAGGGAAGUGAAACUAUUUUGCCAUUUGGAUUCUUCUCCUUUUAGAACUGCAUUUCAUGUUAACCUUUCUUUCAAUCAUCUAAAAUUUCCAUUCAUUUGUUUUUGCGUGAAUAUAAAUUAAUACAAUGCAAAACGUUAAAGUGAAAAAUCUAGAAGAAACGAAGGCUAACUAACUACUUAUUAACGAAAGAAGAAAGUGCGUGAGUGUAUAGAUAAUAAGAAACAAAGUAAAAGAUGCAAAAAUCACAAAUGGUGAUUUGGCCUAUAUUAACUCCGAUAUCACACUCAUACCAAUGAAGUCACGAUCACGCGUAUUGCACCAACAGUGACGAUUUUGCACCACCAUUAUUUUGUACAAGACUCCAAACACAACCACAAAAAACCCCGUCACAUAUGACGACACCUACAAUAAAAUACGCUAAUACGAUUGUUUCAAUGAUGUUGUUUAUGUAAACAGAGGUGAAAUUUUAAGGAAACCAAAGAGUAGAUUAUUGUGUGUUAUGGAAUAUAUAAUUUGAUUAGCGAAAUUUACAGAGAAAAUAUAUAAUAAGGAAUCCUAGAGUCCUAGUUGAGGGUUGAAGGCCACACAUCCCUAAAUCCUAGAUAAAAUAUUUGGUUGGUUCCUUGUAUAGAAUAAUGAUAAUAUAUAGAUAUAGAUGUCCUGACAAAAGGACCCCCAAAAGAGAUGUUACAUAUUUAAGGACAAAAUCAUGACCUCUGAUUUGUACCCCAUGUGUGAACUUUGAACCACUCUUGUUAAUUGUUAUCACUCUUUUCCAUUUCCUGCAGUUUACCUCCUUAACCAUCCAUCUCCAUAUAAGCUGUCAUAUUGAGUACAACUCCAAUUUGGGCAGACAUAGGAACCCAUUUCCCAAAAGGCUACAAAUUUUGAAAAGGAUUCAUUCAUCUUCGUUUCUUUUCACUGCUUGCUUGAUGAUGGUGAAACCUUCUUCCCUAUUGCACCAGGUGACCAGAAAUCAGCACCGUUGCUACUCGCCACGUGUACGGUGCAUCCCACAGGGAUCAAGCACAGACCCCUACUCCUCAACUCCUUCUUCACUUCCUCUUCAUUGUUUUCUCCGUCCCCCUGAAAUAACGCACACACAACAAAUAUCUUCAGUCAUCAAGAGUUACCUUAAAUGGCAAAGUGUCACAGUGUUGACUCUGUUCAGUCACCCAAAACCAGCCUCAGCAUUUUCAAGUAAGGUGAUAUAUGUGCGCUAUUGUCCCCAUCAAGCGGGCCCUGCACUCACACCUUUUCUAGAUUUUGUUUCCCAGUAAUAAAUCAUAGGAUCAAGGUUUUUAAAACACGCAAUUGCAUCCACAGUAUCGGGGUUUUGCUUUUGCAACCACAAUUGUCACUGCAUUUGUCUACCGUUUUUCAUAAUGUAAAAGAUUGUGACAAAAAUUUGGCUGUAAUUGUGACAUCAGUUGCAUUUACCAACAGUUUUUCACAAAGUCAAAGAUGGAGACAGAACCAUGAAUUGAAUUAAAACCUUUGCAAAAUAAAGAAGAAUGUGAGAAUGAUGAGAGAUGGGAUGGGACUCACGUGCUGGUGUUGGUCUGAGGAAGACAAAGUUUGCAAGUAAGGAGAGCACAGGACCUGAACUUGGUCAUGAAGAAAUCUUAUAUAGCCCAUGGCCUCGUGAAGCACUGAUGCUGUAUCUGUCUGCACAUGCAGUUGUGAUCAACAUUCAAAAAUGUCAAUUCAUCAUACACAUUGAGCACACAAAUUUACAAAAUUCAAACUUUAACAUGUUGGCUACCUUGCCGAAGGGAGAAACAAGCUGUUGUAACGCUGCGAUUCGUUCCCCGAGCUUCUCCUUCCUCUGAUAUUCCAAAUAAUUUCGUCAAACUACAUGAAACUAUAUAUGAUACAAGACAAUGAUAUAAAACUUUUUAAAAAGCACACGACAUUUUUUAUCAGAAAACGACAGGCCGUGGGUCUGUGCGUUGGAAAAGUUUAAGUUCAAAGUGAAGACAGAAAAGAAAACGACAUGCAAGCAAUCCAUGGUUGAUUUUCCUCACCUUUGCAUGUCCGGUUGAGGUGGGGUUCUCUGCUUUGGUCUUCUUAGUUUGUCUUUGGCCUCCAACACCAACCUUGGUCACUGGCUCUUGUCCCAACCCAUUCCGCUUUUUCUGCAAACUCUUCAACAAAAGACAAAAUGAAAAAAAAAAAUAGUAUUGGAACAACACCACCAUGACUAUUCCCCAGCCCAGUUGCCAACCAAGAAAACAGAGACAAAGUGCGACAUACAGUGGACUUGGGUAGGGAAUUGAAGCCGGUGUUGGUGUAGUUGGAGGAGGAAGCAGAAGAGGAAUCGCUGGAAGUGAUGACAGAUUUCUGAGGGGUGACGGUGGUGGGAGGAAGCGAAAGGUGGGGUUGGUUUUGAUGGUUUCCAAAGCAUAGCAUUUUGGGUGGCUUGUGAAAGGAGAAAAGUGGCGACCGGGAAAGGUUGUUGUGAUUGUAAGAGGAGUGGUCCUGAGGAAGAGGCAAUGCAGUGGCAUCGUGGUGGUCAUGGUGAUGGUGAUGGUCAUGGUCAUCUCCGAAUAGUAACUGAGAAAAAGUGGUCCCUGUGGGUGCAGUGAAAUGGUGGAGUUCAAAUUCGUCCUUGGGCUCCAUGGAAAAGGAGUUGGAAAUGAAAUGAAUGGGAAAGAGAAGGCGAAAGAGAAAAGAGAGGGUUAUGGGAGAAAGAGAGGAACAAGUGUCAAGUGUGAAAGAGGGUGGGAAGACAUAUGUAAAUGUUUAUGUGGUUACAGUAGAAAUUGGUAAAGAAAAAUGUUAGAGAGAAAGCAAAAUGAAAAUGAAAAUGAGAGAGAGCCAUGGGAUGGGAUGGGCUGGGUGGGGUGUGGGGAAGUGGGUUCUUUCCGAGAACGGCUUCGGUUUUCGGCAACCAAUGGUCAAAGCCACCUGGCCCGAGAAAACCGUGUUUGAGCCCUCCAACGCCUUUUUUCCUCUCACCGCUUCCACUUUCCUCCAACCUCUUCUUUC